UCAUAUUACACCAUAAAACUUGUGGUCAACAACAUGCUACUACCAGAACUCCCUACAACCUGCUCCCUCUUUCUCUCAUUUUCUUCACUGCCGGUCACCGGUGACACACCGGCAACGGCUGCCGAUCAACGUAGUUCCUCCGGCAACCCCACACAACACCCCUCGUUCUCUCUCUGCUCCGACUAACCGGCCGGCUAUGCCCCCCCCCCCCCCUCCGAUGAUCUCCAGAGACGGCAGGCGGAGCCGCCGCCUCUCACUCCGGCGCCGGUGGGUGUCUCGACGACGACGGCGGUGUGCCGUUUUUCUGAUGGUCGACGGGCGAGGGGUCCAGCAGCCGCUGUUCCUUUGAUGAUGAUGGCCAGUCGAUGAUGAUGAGAUAAUGCGGUGAUUGAUGAUAAUCUGCUAUUAAAGUCGGUGAUGUUGAUGACGAUGAUGUUGCUGAAGAUGUGAUUUUCUUCGUGGUGCGACAGGUCACGACCGAUUGAGGAUCAGGUUGGGUUUGUUUUGAGUUUGGUUCGGGUAGUAACGAGUCAAUGGUUGGUGAUGGGUUCAAGGCAGCAGCAAUGGUUGUGGUCGAAUAGGCUAGGGUUUCGACUCGGGUCAGAUUUGGUCGAACAGGCUCGGGUCAAAGAUGGUGUACGGUCAACAGGUCAAUUUCGAGUUCUUGGUUUGCGUGCGGUUAUAAUGUUCCAGAUUCAUGUUUUGGCUCGGUUCACAUUUUUGGCUCGGGUUUGUAGUGGAUCGGUUCAACUAGUGAACGGAUCAGCUUAGACUUAAAUUCGGGUGUCGCGACUCCGUUUAGCUUCGAGUUCUGGCUAAUUUUAGUCAACUCCAGGAUACGAUUCGGUUCGGGUCACAUCUGUUUCAGGUUUGGUCAACUCAGUCAAAGAAAGUCAACUGGUCAAAGCCGGUCAACUCAGUUCGUUUUGGUCAACACCCGGUCAACUCAGGACCCGGUAAAGUUUAGACGUAGCAAAUAUUUAUUCCGUUAGCUUAGAUAGUUUACGCGACCGAGCUCGACCCGAUUCGACUAGAUACUAUCUUACGUUUUGGUAUAUUUAACGAGAAAUUUUUAUAUAUAGUGUUUAUUGGUUGAAUUAUUGCUGAAUUUUGACAAAAUACGACGACUUUUA
Molecule: long non-coding RNA, 1133 nt
Organism: Helianthus annuus (common sunflower)
Lineage: Eukaryota; Viridiplantae; Streptophyta; Magnoliopsida; Asterales; Asteraceae
Exons: 2
Source: RefSeq, a predicted model, not a curated record